RNAcentral lists this small nuclear RNA (62 nucleotides) under Echinops telfairi (small Madagascar hedgehog). RNAcentral's name for it is "U7 small nuclear RNA (ENSETEG00000022481.1)". It matches the Rfam family "U7 small nuclear RNA". Rfam says of the family: Animal histone pre-mRNAs are spliced by a different mechanism than nuclear pre-mRNAs and self-splicing introns. This processing involves the U7 snRNP, which contains only one RNA species: U7. Lineage: Eukaryota; Metazoa; Chordata; Mammalia; Afrosoricida; Tenrecidae. The record is from RNAcentral.
CAGUGUUACAGCUCUUUUAGAAUUUGUCUAACAGGUUUUCAGGUUUUUUUCUGGAAACACUA